This 1472-nucleotide ribosomal RNA is filed under the name uncultured prokaryote. RNAcentral's name for it is "partial 16S ribosomal RNA". It matches the Rfam family "Bacterial small subunit ribosomal RNA". The record is from RNAcentral.
ACGAACGCUGGCGGCAGGCUUCAUACAUGCAAGUCGAACGGAAAGGCCUCCUUCGGGAGGUACUCGAGUGGCGAAAGGGGGAGUAACAGGGGGAUGAUCUACCUUCCGGUGGGGGAUAACUCCGCGAAAGUGGGGCUAAUACCGCGUACGGUUGUCCGGAUAGAACCGGGCAAAGAAAGGCGCUUCUUGCCCCGCCGAAAGAUGGGUCCGCCUCCCAUUAGCUAGUUGGUGUGAUAACAGCGCACCAAGGCAACGAUGGGUAGCCGAGCUGAGAGGUUGAUCGGCCACACUGGAACUGAGAUACGGUCCAGACACCUACGGGUGGCAGCAGUGCGGAAUAUUGCGCAAUGAGCGAAAGCUUGACGCAGCCAUGCCGCGUGGACGAUGAAUGCCUUCGGGUUGUAAAGUCCUUUUCUGAGGGAAGAACAUCCAGGGGAGGAAAUGACCCUGGCCUGACGGUACCUUAGGAAUAAGCAACGGCUAACUCCGUGCCAGCAGCCGCGGUAAUACGGAGGUUGCAAGCGUUGUUCGGAUUUACUGGGCGUAAAGGGAGCGCAGGCGGCUUGGUCAGUCUAAAGUGAAAGUCCGGGGCUCAACCCCGGAAGUGCUUUGGAUACUGCCUAGCUUGAGUAUGUGAGAGGUGAGCGGAAUUUCAGGUGUAGCGGUGAAAUGCGUAGAUAUCUGAAGGAACAUCGGUGGCGAAAGCGGCUCACUGGCACAAAACUGACGCUGAGGCUCGAAAGCGUGGGGAGCGAACGGGAUUAGAUACCCCGGUAGUCCACGCCGUAAACGUUGUGCACUAGGUGUGGGAGGUAUCGACCCCUUCCGUGCCGAAGCUAACGCAUUAAGUGCACCGCCUGGGGAGUACGCACGCAAGUGUGAAACUCAAAGGAAUUGACGGGGGCCCGCACAAGCGGUGGAGCAUGUGGUUUAAUUCGAGGCAACGCGAAGAACCUUACCCAGGCUUGACAUCCCGUGACAUCCAUGGAAACAUGGCUUUCUCUCUUCGGAGACACAGAGACAGGUGUUGCAUGGCUGUCGUCAGCUCGUGUCGUGAGAUGUUGGGUUAAGUCCCGCAACGAGCGCAACCCCUGUCCCUAGUUACCAGCGGUUCGGCCGGGCACUCUAGGGAGACUGCCGGCGAUAAGCCGGAGGAAGGUGGGGAUGACGUCAAGUCAUCAUGGCCCUUACGCCUGGGGCGACACACGUGCUACAAUGGCCGGUACAGUGGGCCGCAAGGCCGCGAGGUGGAGCGAAUCCCAAAAAGCCGGCCUCAGUUCGGAUUGGAGUCUGCAACUCGACUCCAUGAAGUUGGAAUCGCUAGUAAUCGCGUAUCAGCCACGACGCGGUGAAUACGUUCCCGGGCCUUGUACACACCGCCCGUCACAUGACCCGAGUCGGUUGCACCCGAAGUCGCUGGCCCAACCCGCAAGGGAGGGAGGUGCCGAAGGUGUGAUUGGUAAGGGGGAUGA